AACGAACGCUGGCGGCAUGCCUAACACAUGCAAGUCGAACGAGACCUUCGGGUCUAGUGGCGCACGGGUGCGUAACGCGUGGGAACCUGCCCUUAGGUUCGGAAUAACUCCCCGAAAGGGGUGCUAAUACCGGAUAAUGUCUUCGGACCAAAGAUUUAUCGCCUUUGGAUGGGCCCGCGUUGGAUUAGCUAGUUGGUAGGGUAAAAGCCUACCACGGCGACGAUCCAUAGCUGGUCUGAGAGGAUGAUCAGCCACACUGGGACUGAGACACGGCCCAGACUCCUACGGGAGGCAGCAGUGGGGAAUAUUGGACAAUGGGCGAAAGCCUGAUCCAGCAAUGACGCGUGAGUGAUGAAGGCCUUAGGGUUGUAAAGCUAUUUUACCCGGGAUGAUAAUGACAGUACCGGGAGAAUAAGCACCGGCUAACUCCGUG
Molecule: ribosomal RNA, 433 nt
Filed under: uncultured bacterium
Lineage: Bacteria
Description: partial 16S ribosomal RNA
Rfam family: Bacterial small subunit ribosomal RNA
Source: RNAcentral